CAUGCACCAGUGGGGUCCCUUGGCCUGGCCUGUGGGAUCAGACCGAAACCGCUCUCUGACAUUCCCCAACGGGUCCUGGAUUGUGAGAGGGUGCAGGCCAGGCUGAGGGACCCCACUGGUGCACA
Molecule: microRNA precursor, 125 nt
Filed under: Myotis davidii
Lineage: Eukaryota; Metazoa; Chordata; Mammalia; Chiroptera; Vespertilionidae
Description: mir-9193 microRNA precursor family
Rfam family: mir-9193 microRNA precursor family
Source: Rfam by way of RNAcentral